Bufo gargarizans (Asiatic toad) is the source of this 1370-nucleotide long non-coding RNA. RefSeq lists it as uncharacterized. The record is from RefSeq and is a predicted model, not a curated record. Lineage: Eukaryota; Metazoa; Chordata; Amphibia; Anura; Bufonidae. The transcript is spliced from 2 exons.
AAUGUUAAAGAUAAUACAACCGGGUCCAUUCAAAACGAAUGCAGACGGUUGUAUUAUCAGUAACGAAAGCGUUUUUCUGAACCCUGCCGUAUCCAGCAAAAAACGCUAGUGUGAAAGAAGCCUUAGCAAGGUACUGGCUCUCCUUAACCCCUCCCCACCUAGUGCUGUUCCUGUACAGCACAGGGUGCAUCUGUAAAGAUGGUGCCCACUUGUAGGUGUAAUAGCUGAUGGGUGCCUGCUGUUUUAAACAGACACCCAUGGCUAAUGUAUGGGAUCAAAUCUGACCACGGCACCUGGGUGCACAAAAGCCUAAAGUGUGCAGUCCAGCUCCCCCUAGUGAGGAUCAGUGGAGCUCGACAGUGUCUGCGACAGCCUCAGCCCUCCUGAAUGAUCUGCGGCUGCUGCACGCAGCUGCCCCAUAGUGUAAGUCUCAGACCCAAAGGUUAAUGCAGUGGGGUCUAAAGAAAUCUGAUUGCGCUUCUUUAAAGGGGUUCUGCACUUUGUUUAAACUGAUGAUCUAUCCUGUGGAUAGAUCAUCAGCAUCUGAUCGGUGGGGGUCCGACACCUGUGCAGAACCCCUUUAAGUCCUCUUGGGAAACUAUCAAAGUAAAAAAAGUUUUAAAAAUUUAUAUUGCCUUAUUUCCCAAAAAUAAUCAGUAGCAUCACCACGUGCAAAAACACCCGUAACUAUUAAAAUAUUUAUCCAAAACAGUGAAACGAGAAUAGUCGAAAUGGCUGAUUUGCAAUUUUUCCGUUUCAUCCACCAUGACUGCUACAAAUGAGAUUGACCUCUAUAGGGACAGGAAAUACAGAGUGUUUAGGAAGCCCACUCCCACCCUCUGUUUUUCCUGUUCCUAAGGGGGUAGGAGCACAGAGUAACUCCUACAGGGGUGAGAAGAGUUUCUUCCUUUUUUAUUUUUCUUAAAAAACAAACAAUUGGCUUACCAAUCUCCUCAGCCCUCCCGCAGCUUAUGCCAAAGCUGGGCUGGAGAGGUUAAUGUGGACCUCAUCUCCAACUUGGGAGGCCUGGUUUUCACUGGGGCCAGAGGUGGUCUUCCUUCCCAUCUUUUAGUAGAAGCAGACUGGCAGGUGAAAGGACGCCGAACAGGCCAGAGUCUUCGCGGCAUUCUGCGCUUCUGGGGAGGCGUAUCGAAGCCCCUGCCUGACCACGUCGGCAUUGUGGAACCCAAAGAGAAGAUCCUGCCAACCACCCCCAUCUCUGAGCAGAAGGGAGCCAAGCCAGAGCAGCAGGCACAGCCCCCUGCCAUGCCCCAGCCUGUGCCCACCGCUUAAUGGAAUGCUCAACGCCAGGAUGUGAAGUUCUUGCAUUCUGCUCAAAUCUGUAAAAUAAAAAACACCCCAAAAAUGUA